RNAcentral lists this ribosomal RNA (497 nucleotides) under uncultured bacterium. Its description in RNAcentral is "partial 16S ribosomal RNA". It matches the Rfam family "Bacterial small subunit ribosomal RNA", at positions 28 to 507 of the family's 1533-position model. The record is from RNAcentral.
GAUGAACGCUGGCGGCGUGCCUAAUACAUGCAAGUCGAGCGAACAGACGAGGAGCUUGCUCCUCUGACGUUAGCGGCGGACGGGUGAGUAACACGUGGAUAACCUACCUAUAAGACUGGGAUAACUUCGGGAAACCGGAGCUAAUACCGGAUAAUAUAUUGAACCGCAUGGUUCAAUAGUGAACGACGGUUUUGCUGUCACUUAUAGAUGGAUCCGCGCCGCAUUAGCUAGUUGGUAAGGUAACGGCUUACCAAGGCGACGAUUCGUAGCCGACCUGAGAGGGUGAUCGGCCACACUGGAACUGAGACACGGUCCAGACUCCUACGGGAGGCAGCAGUAGGGAAUCUUCCGCAAUGGGCGAAAGCCUGACGGAGCAACGCCGCGUGAGUGAUGAAGGUCUUCGGAUCGUAAAACUCUGUUAUUAGGGAAGAACAAAUGUGUAAGUAACCAUGCACGUCUUGACGGUACCUAAGCAGAAAGCCACGGCUAACUACGUG